Molecule: long non-coding RNA, 257 nt
Filed under: Apteryx rowi (Okarito brown kiwi)
Lineage: Eukaryota; Metazoa; Chordata; Aves; Apterygiformes; Apterygidae
Description: lncRNA (ENSARWG00000016637.1)
Source: RNAcentral
CUACAGCACUGAAAUCAUGACACUCUACGUGAAUGCAAUCAGUAUUAUUUCUGCUUAAAUACAAUUGUAGUGGGGAAAGGAAGGAGAUUGCAAGAACUUCAGCAAAUGACAAAGCCAGCCAGAUGGAGUACUGUGGGUUGUACUGCAGAGCACACUGCAGAGAUUUGGAUCUAACAUUUGGGUAAACAGAAGUAGCAAGAUGAUCUGAAGUAACACCAUCUGGUGAAUGCCUGUUUCCCUCUUCAGCAAUCAAGAAC